Molecule: ribosomal RNA, 373 nt
Filed under: uncultured organism
Description: partial 16S ribosomal RNA
Rfam family: Bacterial small subunit ribosomal RNA
Source: RNAcentral
GUAGGUGGCAAGCGUUGUCCGGAAUUAUUGGGCGUAAAGCGCGCGCAGGCGGUUCUUUAAGUCUGAUGUGAAAGCCCACGGCUCAACCGUGGAGGGUCAUUGGAAACUGGAGAACUUGAGUACAGAAGAGGAAAGCGUAAUUCCACGUGUAGCGGUGAAAUGCGUAGAGAUGUGGAGGAACACCAGUGGCGAAGGCGGCUUUCUGGUCUGUAACUGACGCUGAGGCGCGAAAGCGUGGGGAGCAAACAGGGAUUAGAUACCCUGGUAGUCCACGCCGUAAACGAUGAGUGCUAAGUGUUAGGGGGUUUCCGCCCCCUUAGUGCUGCAGCUAACGCAUUAAGCACUCCGCCUGGGGAGUACGGCCGCAAGGCUG